CUAAAGUGCCUCUGUUUUGUGUUUGUUACCCUGGUCUGCAGCAGUGGCUUUAGGGCCUUCUGCCCUAAAAAUGUCCUGCAGGUUUGUUGGAGCCAGGACUUUCUUUCCUUCCUAGAUUUGGGCCCUGCUGCAUGCCUGGGAAGUGUGCAUUAUUUUAGGUGAAGCAAUGACAUUUUGGUGCAGUGAAAUCAAGGCAGAAAUUUGUUUGGAAGAGUCUGGGCUCGAUCAGCAGGUACAAGUAUAAAGCAUGCCCAGGGCCCUUCAACACCCAGCAAGGACUUCACGUGUCCAGCACGGGAGCUGUGCAAGUAUGCAUAGGAGCAUCGUUGUGCUCACAUCCAUCUGGUGAUGGCUUUCUGGAUGUGUGUGCACCAAAACCCGGGGGAACCUCUUUACAGGAGGAGAAACGAACAGCUCUCCGCUCAGCUGCUCCAGCAGAAGGCCCUGGGCAAUUGCUGUGCUGGAGAUCAAAGCUAUCUGAAAGCAGAGCAUCAAAGGCAGCUCUGCUGCUUGCACUGGAGGACACUUCUUCCAGCCUGGCUGAGCUGAAAAUUAAAAAAAAAAAAAAAAAGGAUAAAUUCUCAGUAGUACCUCAGGAAGGCUGUUGUUUCCCCAGGAAAAGAUGCCCCCAAACACCUUCUUGCCCUCCUGUUUCCCAUGUGAAUCAUGGGGAAAGGCUGUGCUGACAGAUGUGACUUCAGUGCUAAUCCCAGCCCUGGGCUGGUUCUGUCUUUCCCCAUCUCCCCUCUGAGAAAUGGGGAUAAUUGUACAAAACGUUGCAAAGUUCUUCAUUAAGCAGUCGACAAGUGCUGAAUGCUCUUAAUGAGAACGAGUUUUGGGUUUACUUGGGUGAUGUCCUGACCAACAUCCAUCUCAUUCUUCAGCCUACAGCAUGAUGGUUGUGGUGGGCAAGAAACCACUCGUGUAACACUUCAAAUUAGGAAAUCACCCUUCUUUCACUUAGGAAACCUCUGGUCACUGGCAAAGGGGGAUGCCAGAGGCUGACCUGCUCCUUCUUCUCUUGUCAGCCUCUACGUGCUGCUCAAACUCGUUUCCACCUGUGGAGAGGGGAAAACAUCACAAAAUCUGCAUGGGAUGGGUGAGCAACCACGUGCCCCUGGGCCAGGAGAGCUCAGAAAUCAGAGCCCACAGAGGCUGUUAUUGCUGGCAGCUGCAGUGAAGUGGAAGAGAUGUCCUACAUGGUGCUAUCAGUCACCAGGUGUGUCGCUUUUCAACACUUAAUGUCUGGAAGUUAGAGCCUUUCUCCGCUGAGUUUCCAGCCAUUGGUGUGUGAUUUUGGGUGCAAGGAAAGGAAUUAUAUUAGAGGUCUUGCAGGUGAGCUUCCCUCCCUCCAGCCACAUGUCUCAGUGGCAAUGAAUCUUUGUGAAUGUCAUCUUCCUUGGCUGCAGACCUUGCUCCAGCCAGGAGUCUGCCUGAGGACCUUGCCAGAGCACCCUCCUCAUUUUCCUGGGGUCGGAUGUCCCCCGUGGUGAGCAGGACCUCGCCUUGGUCAUGCCAGCAGAAUUGUGCAGCCCUACAAACUCCAGCUCUACCUCUAAAACUGAUUUAUUUAUUUAGUUAAUUUUCAACCUAGUUCUUAAAAAUCCCUCUGGAGUAAGAGGACAUACUAAUCUAUGACAGCUGUGGUGCUGGAUAACCUCUUCUGCACCCUUUGGCACACACAUUUGGUCCUGGAGUGAAGAGGUGAACAAACCCUUGCAGCGUGUGGAUCCUGGUGUAAGAAGCGUGGAAGGACAGAGCCCCUUCACUUUUACAACCACAUAAAUGCGUGCUACUGAGAUAGCCAGGCUCCUCUUUGGCACACCAGAGCGUUUUCCAGAUGACAGCACUUUUUCAAGGCUGUUCCUG
Long non-coding RNA from Anas platyrhynchos (mallard), 1869 nucleotides. RefSeq lists it as uncharacterized. The record is from RefSeq and is a predicted model, not a curated record. Lineage: Eukaryota; Metazoa; Chordata; Aves; Anseriformes; Anatidae.